AUACUCUGGUUUCUUUACAAUAUCGUGCUAAUUUUUCGCCUUUUACUAAAGAUUACCGUGGAAAGGAACAACUUAAUGAGCUUUACACAAUUUUUGGAAUCUCAAUUCGGUGGGAUU
This is a small nuclear RNA of Argiope bruennichi, 117 nucleotides long. RefSeq annotates it as U5 spliceosomal RNA. The transcript has a single exon. The record is from RefSeq and is a predicted model, not a curated record. NCBI's taxonomy places the organism in Eukaryota, Metazoa, Arthropoda, Arachnida, Araneae, Araneidae.